RNAcentral lists this ribosomal RNA (516 nucleotides) under uncultured microorganism. RNAcentral's name for it is "bacterial SSU rRNA". It matches the Rfam family "Bacterial small subunit ribosomal RNA", at positions 9 to 524 of the family's 1533-position model. The record is from RNAcentral.
GAGUUUGAUCGUGGCUCAGGAUGAACGCUGGCGGCGUGCUUAACACAUGCAAGUCGAGCGAAGCGCUCACGCGGAAUUUUUCGGAAGGAAGCGGGAGCGACUUAGCGGCGGACGGGUGAGUAACGCGUGGGUAACCUGCCCCAUACCGGGGGAUAACGGUUAGAAAUGACCGCUAAUACCGCUUAAGCGCGCGAGGCCGCAUGGCCACGCGCGAAAAACUCCGGUGGUAUGGGAUGGGCCCGCGUCUGAUUAGCUAGUUGGCGGGGUAACGGCCCACCAAGGCGACGAUCAGUAGCCGACCUGAGAGGGUGGCCGGCCACAUUGGGACUGAGACACGGCCCAAACUCCUACGGGAGGCAGCAGUGGGGAAUAUUGCGCAAUGGGGGAAACCCUGACGCAGCAACGCCGCGUGAGUGAAGACGUAUCUCGGUAUGUAAAGCUCUAUCAGCGGGGAAGAAGGAAGACGGUACCCGACUAAGAAGCCCCGGCUAACUACGUGCCAGCCGCCGCCGUAAC